CAACAGGGAUUGCCUCAGUAACGGCGAGUGAAGCGGCAACAGCUCAAAUUUGAAAUCUGGUCCUUUCAGGCCCCGAGUUGUAAUUUGUAGAGGAUGUUUCGGGCGCGGCGCGGGUCUAAGUCCUUUGGAACAGGGCGUCAUAGAGGGUGAGAAUCCCGUAUGUGACCCGUGACCAAGCCCAUGUGAAACCCCUUCGACGAGUCGAGUUGUUUGGGAAUGCAGCUCAAAAUGGGUGGUAAAUUUCAUCUAAAGCUAAAUACCGGCCAGAGACCGAUAGCGCACAAGUAGAGUGAUCGAAAGAUGAAAAGCACUUUGGAAAGAGAGUCAAAAAGUACGUGAAAUUGUUGAAAGGGAAGCGCUUGCAACCAGACCUGCCCGCGGGCGAUACACCUUCCGUUCUGCGGGGUGCACUCGUCCGUGAUCAGGCCAGCAUCGGUUCGGGCGGUUGGAUAAAGGCCUUGGGAAUGUAGCUCCUUCCGGGGAGUGUUAUAGCCCUUGGUGCAAUGCAGCCAGCCCGGACCGAGGACCGCGCCUUCGGGCUAGGAUGCUGGCGUAAUGGUUGUAAGCGACCC
RNAcentral lists this ribosomal RNA (572 nucleotides) under uncultured fungus. RNAcentral's name for it is "partial large subunit ribosomal RNA". It matches the Rfam family "Eukaryotic large subunit ribosomal RNA", at positions 66 to 650 of the family's 3401-position model. The record is from RNAcentral. Lineage: Eukaryota; Fungi.